GCAAUUAUACCGUGAAACUGCGAAUGGCUCAUUAAAUCAGUUAUCGUUUAUUUGAUAGUACCUUACUACUUGGAUAACCGUGGUAAUUCUAGAGCUAAUACAUGCUGAAAACCCCGACUUCGGGAGGGGUGUAUUUAUUAGAUUAAAAACCAAUGCCCUUCGGGGCUCCUUGGUGAUUCAUGAUAACUUCUCAGAUCGCACAGCCUUGCGCUGGCGACGGUUCAUUCAAAUUUCUGCCCUAUCAACUUUCGAUGGUAAGGUAUUGGCUUACCAUGGUUUCAACGGGUAACGGGGAAUUAGGGUUCGAUUCCGGAGAGGGAGCCUGAGAAACGGCUACCACAUCCAAGGAAGGCAGCAGGCGCGCAAAUUACCCAAUCCCGACACGGGGAGGUAGUGACAAUAAAUACUGAUACAGGGCUCUUUUGGGUCUUGUAAUUGGAAUGAGUACAAUUUAAACCUCUUAACGAGGAACAAUUGGAGGGCAAGUCUGGUGCCAGCAGCCGCGGUAAUUCCAGCUCCAAUAGCGUAUAUUAAAGUUGUUGCAGUUAAAAAGCUCGUAGUUGAAUCUUUGGCCUGGCUGGCAGGUCCGCCUCACCGCGUGCACUUGUCCGGCCGGGCCUUUUCUUCUAGAGAACCGCAUGCCCUUCACUGGGUGUGUUGGGGACUAGGACUUUUACUUUGAAAAAAUUAGAGUGUUCAAAGCAGGCCUUUGCUCGAAUACGUUAGCAUGGAAUAAUAGAAUAGGACGCGCGGUCCUAUUUUGUUGGUUUUCAGGACCGCCGUAAUGAUUAAUAGGGACAGUCGGGGGCAUCAGUAUUCAAUUGUCAGAGGUGAAAUUCUUGGAUUUAUUGAAGACUAACUACUGCGAAAGCAUUUGCCAAGGAUGUUUUCAUUAAUCAGUGAACGAAAGUUAGGGGAUCGAAGACGAUCAGAUACCGUCGUAGUCUUAACCAUAAACUAUGCCGACUAGGGAUCGGGCGGUGUUAUUAUUUUGACCCGCUCGGCACCUUACGAGAAAUCAAAG
RNAcentral lists this ribosomal RNA (1024 nucleotides) under Groenewaldia indica. RNAcentral's name for it is "SSU rRNA". It matches the Rfam family "Eukaryotic small subunit ribosomal RNA", at positions 69 to 1103 of the family's 1831-position model. The record is from RNAcentral. Lineage: Eukaryota; Fungi; Ascomycota; Dothideomycetes; Pleosporales; Lentitheciaceae.